AAACAAUGUAAAGAUAUAUCAUGAUUGAAAGAGUAUGAAUAAUAAGCUGGCUAUCUUUCACAAUGUAGUUGUGAAUUAGCAUGAACAAAAUUUCAUAGCUGAAUGAACAUUGAAAAUGAACAUAACAAUUAUAUCUGAACCGAAUGGUAAUGAAGGUGAUCAGCCUUUCAUACCUGAUGAAUACAUGCAAUAUGUACAGAGUACAAUUCUACACUGGCAAUCAACAAUGAUUAACCAUAAUCAUAUCUGAAUGAAACCACUCUUAGAAGAGUUUAAGUAAAAAGAAAAUUACCUGAACCGUUGAUUACUGUAACGCAAUUAAUAAGCUUCGUCUGAAGACCUAAUAUUAAUAAUAUAGAUCUCCAAUAUUAGAAUAAUAUCAUCACAGUAUAAUACUGUUAUAGAAUAACCUAAACACAUAACACAUAACCCUGUCAGUCUAUACAGCACAUAAAACUUAGCAUCAAGUCAAAUUAUUUCGGUCUGAUUUGAAACCAACAAAAUUCUAUCAUCCCGACGAUCUAGUCGGAUAAAUAUCGAGUCUAAGUUCAAUUAAACUCUAUCUAACACUUAAAAAUUAUCUUAGACAAUCAUAUUAUCAGUCUAAAUAAUUUUCAUAAGCUCUAAAUGAUUUUCAGAUAAUUAAUAUCAUUUAUCUAAAUUUUUCGAUCAUUAAUAACGUAUUUAAAUGAAAUAAAUACCACAUAAUUCCUUAAUCAUUAAUAUUUAUUUAAUACCAAAUAUUAAUAAAAAUCAUAACAUAAUAUUAUAAUAUAUUUAUAAUAUAUCACGGUAUUUUUAAUACCUUAAAAUCACAUUUAUAUGAUUUUUAAACACUUAAAAUCAUUAUCUGAUAAUUGAUAUUAAUAAUAAAAUAUUAAUAUUUUCAUGCCAAAAUAUCAAAAGUUAUAUUUUAUAACUUAAAAUAUUUUUCUAACACUUAAAUCAUUUUUAUAUGAUUUUUAAAUUAUUAAUUCUAUUUUUACAUAAUUUAUUUAAUAUAUUUAUUAAAUAAACUAAUUAUCAUUAAUAUUGAUUAAUUAAUGAAUUUUCAUCACAAAAUAUUAAAAGUCAUCAAAAAUAACUCAUUUACAUAAUCAAUUCCAAGCCAAAAUAAACAUAGUAAACUAACUAGUUUAUUAACAAAACUAACUAAACUUUAAAAAUUUAAACUUUAACUAACAACUAAAUACAAUAUUUAAAAUAAUAACAUUACAAAAAAUUAAAUAAGAAACAUAACCGAAAAUACGAAUUCCACAAACUGAAUACGUACUCGACCAAGAUUUAAUUAAGGAGAUCUUUAUAAAAAGUCCUCCCACAACAAAACAUUUCUCAAAAUUAGAUGCCUUAUUGUUGGUGAAUGAAACAAAGGCCAAGCCCUUCUAUUUAUAGGUUUAGAAAAGGGUGAAGUUCUCAAUUUAGUCGAUGUGGGACUUAGUUUAUACUAAUUUUUCAAUAGCUCACUUUGCGAUUUUCUCACGCCUUGCUCAUUUAUCAGAAAAUUCCCAACUUUGGAUAUGUUAUACAUGGUAUACCAAAGUAUUUUUAAAAAAUAUAACCCAGUAAUUUCGGACCUCUUAGGAAGCCUAAAACAGACCCCAAAAAUGUCAACUCGCAACCGUUUUUAUCUAUUUCCAAGAUUUACCCUCUUUCGCUAAAACAGUCAUAACUCUUUCGUUUAAAAAAAUUUUAGACGAUUCUUGAGCCCACGCGAAGCUAUCUUCCGAGACUACAACUCUUCCCUACUGACUUGUUUCCAAAUUCCGAACACAUCAACCCAGAAAUUCCGUUCAAGUGGACUGCACCACACUUGUUGGAUAGUUUUGACACUACUACUUUGAAAUGUCAUAACUCUCUCCUCCGAUAUCGGAUUUAGUCCGUUUUGGAGUCUAUGGAAAGUUUAUUCAGUGUAAUACAACAUAUCAAAAGCCCAGACCUUUUAAAGCAGAAAAAGUGGACGAGAAUACCCCCGUUACAGACUGCCCAAAAACAGUUUCUCAUGAUCGGUGAACCAUGUUUGACCAUCUAUAACUUCUAAUCUACAACAGAUAUGGACUUGCUUCUUUUUGCAGAUUAAAGACCAUAUAACAGACUACACAUACCAACUUUUAGAACAUAAAACACAUUAAAGAUCACAGAGAUAUAAGGCUUGACAUUUGCCAAAAAAAUCACAUUUUACAAAAUUUCCAGAUUUUUGAAAUCUUCAAAUCCGAGCUUCUAAAUGUUAUGGAAUCAACAUCUAGCAACCCAGAUCAUCAAUUGACACCCUUUAACACAUAUCUAGCCAACAAAUUACAACAUUUAACAUCAAAUCAUCAAAUUUCUAAAAUUAGGAUUUUUAUACCUUUUUGAGCUUUGAUCUUGAAUCUGAUCACCACGUUCUGUUCUUAGCUUAAGGGAAUGAAUAUCUUAAGAAUUUCAUGGGUCUAGAGAGAGAGAAUGUGGGUUGAGAGCUUGAUAGCAAUUUAGCAUAAUUUGUUAACUUUCUCUCUUCACUUAUAUAAUCUUUUGAUUCAAUGUAUCUAGAUGAUCUAAGGGCUAAGAUUACUGAUUUUGCUGGACAUAUAGACCCACCAAUUAAAUCAAUUAGGUCACCAACUCAAUUAUUUGCAAUAAUUCACAAAUAAAACAAAAAGGGUAAAAUGGUAAUUUCUAUACCAAUAAUUGAUUUCUACCUUUAAUAAUGCACAAGGGUAUUUUAGACUUCUCACUUUCAUUAUUAAGGGCAUUUUAGACAUUGGUUACAACCCUUAGGGUUCCCAAAAAUUAAUUUUCUAAUAUUUUAAAUUUAGAUUUUCUAAAUAGAAAAUUAAUAUCUCUAAACUAUAAUUAGAAUUUUCAAAUUAUAUUCUAAUUUCCCAAUUAUAAAUCAUUAUUGACAAUUAGGAUUAAAUAAUUGCUAAUUAAAAUUGCUAAUUUAGCAAUUAGGUCCGUUAGGGUUUCAAACGGAACAAUUAGGGUUUUAUACCGUAAAAUUAGGGUUUUCUAAAUUAUUAGAAAAUAUAAUUUAAACAUUAGGGUUAUCCCUAAUUAGGUUGCAAUUUAAAAUAUAUAAACUUUAUAUAUUGCAAUUAAAUUCUCAAAUUAGGAUUUUUAAUAUCCGAAUUAGGGUUUUAAUUUCCCGAAACAGAAACUAGGGUUUUCAGAACCGAUUUCUAGGGUUUCUUAAAAAUCGUAAUAAUUUUAUAAUUGAACGUGGACGUUCUUAAUAUAUAUGUUUAGGGUUUGACACAGGUUUAAUUUAUCUGGUCAACCCUUGACCCUUAACCACAUUCUGUACACAUAAUACCAUAAUCCUGAAUAAUUCACCAAAAGAAAUUUUAAAUUCUCAAAAUUCCUUCCUGAAAAUAUCAAACGCAUACACUUAUUUUCUGUCUAGGUCUAAUAUUUGACCUUAAAUCAAUCAUUUAAGAUUUUAAUAAAUUUUCUAAAUUCUCGGGUUGUCACACAUGCAAUAUGUACAGAUUACAAUUCUAUAGUGGCAAUCAACAAUGAUUAACCAUAAGCAUAUCUG
RNAcentral lists this long non-coding RNA (3514 nucleotides) under Panax ginseng (ginseng). Its description in RNAcentral is "long non-coding RNA (PGIN_LNC006144)". Lineage: Eukaryota; Viridiplantae; Streptophyta; Magnoliopsida; Apiales; Araliaceae. The record is from RNAcentral.